RNAcentral lists this ribosomal RNA (874 nucleotides) under uncultured archaeon. RNAcentral describes it as "bacterial SSU rRNA". It matches the Rfam family "Archaeal small subunit ribosomal RNA", at positions 125 to 995 of the family's 1478-position model. The record is from RNAcentral.
GAUAACCCCGGGAAACUGGGGAUAAUUCCGGAUAGCGCAUAUUUGCUGGAAUGCUUUAUGCGUCAAAAGGAUUCGUCUGCCCAAGGAUGGGUCUGCGGCCUAUCAGGUAGUAGUGGGUGUAAUGUACCUACUAGCCAGCGACGGGUACGGGUUGUGAGAGCAAGAGCCCGGAGAUGGAUUCUGAGACAUGAAUCCAGGCCCUACGGGGCGCAGCAGGCGCGAAAACUUUACAAUGCGGGAAACCGUGAUAAGGGGACACCGAGUGCCAGCAUCAUAUGCUGGCUGUCCGGAUGUGUAAAAUACAUCCGUUAGCAAGGGCCGGGCAAGACCGGUGCCAGCCGCCGCGGUAACACCGGCGGCCCGAGUGGUGAUCGUGAUUAUUGGGUCUAAAGGGUCCGUAGCCGGUUUGGUCAGUCCUCCGGGAAAUCUGAUAGCUCAACUAUUAGGCUUUCGGGGGAUACUGCCAGACUUGGAACCGGGAGAGGUAAGAGGUACUACAGGGGUAGGAGUGAAAUCUUGUAAUCCCUGUGAGACCACCUGUGGCGAAGGCGUCUUACCAGAACGGGUCCGACGGUGAGGGACGAAAGCUGGGGGCACGAACCGGAUUAGAUACCCGGGUAGUCCCAGCCGUAAACUAUGCUCGCUAGGUGUCAGGCAUGGCGCGACCGUGUCUGGUGCCGCAGGGAAGCCGUGAAGCGAGCCACCUGGGAAGUACGGCCGCAAGGCUGAAACUUAAAGGAAUUGGCGGGGGAGCACAACAACGGGUGGAGCCUGCGGUUUAAUUGGGACUCAACGCCGGACAACUCACCGGGGACGACAGCAAAAUGUAGGCCAGGCUGAAGACCUUGCCUGAAUCGCUGAGAGGAGGGUGCAU